CCCAGGCGCAGGAGCUCGCGAGUCAGGAGGCCCGGGGUUCUAGGCCCAGCUUCGCUCCAGGACGCUGAGCCCCGUAACCUUGAACUACUCACGCGGGGAGGGGGGGGGAGUCUUUCAUGCAUUCACUGCAUGCAACGUUGAUGGGCAGCAUACUGCUGGACCCGGGGAGCCCAGGCCUGACCGUCCCUUCCUGCCCUAGUGCAGGAAGCCCCGUGGAUGGAGGUUGCAUAGGUGUCGCGAUGUUCAAUAAAGUAAUGGAAGAUUUGAAGGAGGUAAAGACCAAGAUGGAGCGAUAACUGAGGAUGAGAGAGGAGAAUGGAAGGCAUUCUUCAGAGAGGGGCAUCAAGGGCAGGGAAGGCCAGAAAUGAUAGACGCGCUGUGCAGGUGACAUGGGCCGAGGCAGAGUCCCCACAAGGCUGUCCCAGAGAACAAAGUAACAAGCGUGAGAGAUGCUCAAAGGGGGGACCCAGCAUAACUGCUUCUUCAUAAAUUACUGCAUAAACCUUCGUUAUGAUGGCUUCCCUCAAACGGACCCCUGGCAGGUCCAGCAUGGCAGGCUCUAUGGCUCUGUCUGUAACGGAACCCGUGGCGGCCCAGUCCUGGGCUGGAUCUGUGCUUCUGCUUGGCCUUAGCGGGAGAAUCCGCAGUUGUGCCAGACUCGGCUGUAUUUACACCAACCAAAGCCGUGGUUGUGUCCGACCUGGUCGUGCUCAGCCUGACUGGGCCUGGUGUCACCAAAACCUUUGCUGUGCUCCCUGCGGUCAGUUCAGCCGUGGUGAUGCCCGCAGUAACUGUGACUUCUCCCGGCUUGUGCGGGUCUGUGAAUGCCAAAUCCGUACCCUUGCCUGGCUUGAUCAGCUCUGCUCGAGUCAAAUUCAUGUCUGUGCUGGGUUCGAGUGUGCCCGGGACAGCCAAGUUCAUGGAUUUUGCUGACUUGGUUGAUGUAGGUAAGCCCAUGUCUGUACCCAGCUUGGCAUCCAGAUCAGGAAACGCUUUACCUGUGACCAGUCUGCAUGUGUUUGGUGCAGCUGUAUUAACAG
Long non-coding RNA from Jaculus jaculus (lesser Egyptian jerboa), 1040 nucleotides. RefSeq lists it as uncharacterized. The transcript has 4 exons. NCBI's taxonomy places the organism in Eukaryota, Metazoa, Chordata, Mammalia, Rodentia, Dipodidae. The record is from RefSeq and is a predicted model, not a curated record.